RNAcentral lists this ribosomal RNA (142 nucleotides) under Hebeloma minus. RNAcentral describes it as "partial small subunit ribosomal RNA". Lineage: Eukaryota; Fungi; Basidiomycota; Agaricomycetes; Agaricales; Hymenogastraceae. The record is from RNAcentral.
AGUCGAAACUAAUUAGACAUAAAAAAAGCAGUUAAAUACCUAAUCAAAUUAUAAUCAAAUUAUAAGUUAAAGAAUAACUACACUUAUAAAUAAUAAAAUAUUGAUUAUUAUUUAUAAUGUUUUACUUUAUUUAAAAUUAGAC